This 288-nucleotide long non-coding RNA is filed under the name Fragaria vesca (wild strawberry). Its description in RNAcentral is "long non-coding RNA (FVES_LNC004007)". The record is from RNAcentral. Lineage: Eukaryota; Viridiplantae; Streptophyta; Magnoliopsida; Rosales; Rosaceae.
UUUAGGGAAAAAGACCAUUUGCACAAAAUAGAAAAAGUCAAACCCCAUUUCAAUGAUAAUCUUUUUUCUUAGCCCAUUUGAAUACAAUGUACUUAUUUUAAGCCCAAAUACACAAAUCUUUAUUAAAAUAUAAUAAAAUUAUAUUUUUAAAGACUUUUUUACCCUUAGCUUUUACUUAAAGAGAAAAAGUGAAAAAGAUGGAGGGAAGACUUUGCCGAAGCACACCGGGCUCCAGCACCAGUCACCGGCAGCCGCAUUCCGGUCGCCGGACUCCGAACUCCGGCCGCC